AAUGAACGCUGGCGGCGCGCCUAAUACAUGCAAGUCGAGCGAGAAGACGUAGCAAUACGUUUGUAAAGCGGCGAACGGGUGAGGAAUACAUGGGUAACCUACCCUAGAGUGGGGAAUAACUAGCCGAAAGGUUAGCUAAUACCGCGUACGCUCCUUGGACUUCGGUUCAGGGAGGAAAGCGAUGCCGAGGGUAUCGCGCUCUUGGAUGGGCUCAUGUCCUAUCAGCUUGUUGGGAGGUAACGGCUCACCAAGGCUUCGACGGGUAGCUGGUCUGAGAGGACGAUCAGCCACACUGGCACUGCGACACGGGCCAGACUCCUACGGGAGGCAGCAGUAAGGAAUAUUGCGCAAUGGGCGGAAGCCUGACGCAGCGACGCCGCGUGAGGGAUGACGG
Molecule: ribosomal RNA, 394 nt
Filed under: uncultured bacterium
Lineage: Bacteria
Description: bacterial SSU rRNA
Rfam family: Bacterial small subunit ribosomal RNA
Source: RNAcentral